AUAUCAAUAAGCGGAGGAAAAGAAACUAACAAGGAUUCCCCUAGUAACUGCGAGUGAAGCGGGAAGAGCUCAAAUUUAAAAUCUGACAGUCGUCUGGCUGCUCCGAGUUGUAAUCUAGAGAAGUGCUAUCCGCGCUGGACCGUGUACAAGUCUCCUGGAAUGGAGCAUCAUAGAGGGUGAGAAUCCCGUCUUUGACAUGGGCUGCCAGGGCUUUUGUGAUGUGCUCUCAAAGAGUCGAGUUGUUUGGGAAUGCAGCUCAAAAUGGGUGGUAAAUUCCAUCUAAAGCUAAAUAUUGGCGAGAGACCGAUAGCGAACAAGUACCGUGAGGGAAAGAUGAAAAGAACUUUGGAAAGAGAGUUAAACAGUAC
This 368-nucleotide ribosomal RNA is filed under the name uncultured fungus. RNAcentral describes it as "eukaryotic LSU rRNA". It matches the Rfam family "Eukaryotic large subunit ribosomal RNA", at positions 40 to 398 of the family's 3401-position model. Lineage: Eukaryota; Fungi. The record is from RNAcentral.